Long non-coding RNA from Bubalus bubalis (water buffalo), 734 nucleotides. RefSeq lists it as uncharacterized. The record is from RefSeq and is a predicted model, not a curated record. NCBI's taxonomy places the organism in Eukaryota, Metazoa, Chordata, Mammalia, Artiodactyla, Bovidae. The transcript has 3 exons.
GACGUAGGCGUUGCCCAGGCAACCUUUCCCGCGGAAAGGGUGGAACGUCCAACCUGAGGACCCUCUCUCUGGUCAGGUAGUGACUUGUGUCUGUAAAGAUAAGUGAAAACUUAACCUGGCUUAACAACUACCACAAAUGCUUGGCUUUUCUAGAAAACAUAUCACAUCGACUUGGUCUCUCGUCGUUGUGAACACUGACUAGUGAUAGCUUGCUGAAGUAGAGUCAUGGACUCAUGGAACCAGGUUUCUAAACGUGGCUUCAGUCAGUUUUAGGGUCGCCAGACCCUUUCAUUGCUUCAAAAGGUCCAAGGAGGUAAGAGUAUUUACUCAAGGUCACUGCACGCUUCAAAAAGCCAAGGAUUUUUUGCUCCAGAUAAUAAAGACAUGAGGCUGCCAUGGAUCUUUGCCGCGUGUGGACUGUGUUUAGCUGUGGCUAAGAAACUAUACUAUUUUCUACAUAGGAUGAGAUGGCUGGAUGGCAUCACUGACUCAAUGGACGUGAGUCUGGGUGAACUCCGGGAGUUGGUGAUGGACAGGGAGGCCUGGAGUGCUGCGAUUCAUGGGGUCGCAAAGAGUUGGACACGACUGAACGACUAAACUGAACUGAACUGAAUGGUUUCUUUGUGCAAAUUCAAGCAAAUACAUCUAUGUAUUUACAUUCCCCAUUUCUUACUACUGUAUUUUUAUGAAUGGUACAAUUAUAUUGUAUAUGUUUAUGAAAUGUGUAGACCUGG